UAAGGAAUAUUGCUCAAUGGGAGAAAUCCUGAAGCAGCAACGCCGCGUGGAGGAUGAAGGGUCUAUGACUUGUAAACUCCUGUAAAGAAGGAAAAAAUUCCCAUUUGAUGGGAGAUGAUGGUACUUCUGGAGUAAGCCCCGGCUAACUACGUGUCAGCAGCCGCGGUAAUACGUAGGGGGCAAGCGUUGUCCGGAUUUACUGGGUGUAAAGGGUGCUCAGGCGGAUUUGUAAGUCAGAGGUGAAAUCUUACAGCUUAACUGUGAAACUGCCUUUGAUACUGCAAGCCUAGAGUAUGGAAGAGAGUGAUAGAAUAUCUGGUGUAGCAGUGAAAUGCGUAGAUAUCAGAUAGAACACCAAUGGCGAAGGCAGUCACUUGGUCCAUUACUGACGCUAAAGCACGAAAGCGUGGGUAGCAAACA
RNAcentral lists this ribosomal RNA (420 nucleotides) under uncultured bacterium. Its description in RNAcentral is "bacterial SSU rRNA". It matches the Rfam family "Bacterial small subunit ribosomal RNA", at positions 355 to 774 of the family's 1533-position model. The record is from RNAcentral.